This 465-nucleotide ribosomal RNA is filed under the name Vreelandella stevensii. Its description in RNAcentral is "partial 16S ribosomal RNA". It matches the Rfam family "Bacterial small subunit ribosomal RNA", at positions 338 to 795 of the family's 1533-position model. Lineage: Bacteria; Pseudomonadati; Pseudomonadota; Gammaproteobacteria; Oceanospirillales; Halomonadaceae. The record is from RNAcentral.
CCUACGGGGGGCAGCAGUGGGGAAUAUUGGACAAUGGGGGGAACCCUGAUCCAGCCAUGCCGCGUGUGUGAAGAAGGCCCUCGGGUUGUAAAGCACUUUCAGUGAGGAAGAACGCCUGGUGGUUAAUACCCAUCAGGAAAGACAUCACUCACAGAAGAAGCACCGGCUAACUCCGUGCCAGCAGCCGCGGUAAUACAGAGGGUGCGAGCGUUAAUCGGAAUUACUGGGCGUAAAGCGCGCGUAGGUGGCUUGAUAAGCCGGUUGUGAAAGCCCCGGGCUCAACCUGGGAACGGCAUCCGGAACUGUCAAGCUAGAGUGCAGGAGAGGAAGGUAGAAUUCCCGGUGUAGCGGUGAAAUGCGUAGAGAUCGGGAGGAAUACCAGUGGCGAAGGCGGCCUUCUGGACUGACACUGACACUGAGGUGCGAAAGCGUGGGUAGCAAACAGGAUUAGAUACCCCGGUAGUC